AAAUUCUAUCAUCUAUAAACCUAUAUGAAGCCACAAUACUUUUUGCUACGUGGCAUGUUACCCUUCAUUCUCAUAACCCAACUUUAAAUCAAACAACCUUCUCCUCUUCUUAACGCCCAUCCCUUCACCUCCCCACUCCUCUAAUUACAUGAAAGGUGAAACAUUUAAUUACAUGCAACUUUAAAUCUAACUUUAAAUCAAACCACAUUCUCCUCUUCUCAGCACCCAACCCUUCACCUCCCCACUCUUCUAAUUACAUGUAAGGUGCAACAUUUAAUUACAUGCACCAUAUUAAUAUUCUAUCAAUCAGUGGGCUUUAUAACUUUAAUCCACUCCCCUUCUCCAUUAAUCUCUCACCCCCUCUCUUUUGUAACUCUUUUACAUGCACCAUAAAAAAAUAUUUAUUAUCGUCUAAUCUCCCACUCCACACUCAUCUCCCUCUUUCUCUCAUUGUGUUAACAAAGAUGAUGAGGAAGAAGAAGAAGAAGAGCCUGCAAUGUACCGGAUUCUUAAUAUAAGAGUAAGUGUAAAUAAAAAUAGCAUAAGAUACUAUUUUUAUUGGACUUAAAGAAGUAAAAUAUAAGUCGAAAAUGACUUGUGCUGAAAUUGGAGUGAAAAUAGAAGAUUUAGAAUUUUCUAUAAGAAACGGAGCUAAUCUUUUAGCAGAAAAUUCACAGUGUCGGAAAAUUAUGAAAAUUGGAGAAUAUGUCGAAAUUUUUUUUAUUAGGCGAGGUUUAAAGUUUCGUGUCAUUCCGACACCCGGAAGGUGGGAAAUAAAAUCUCACUGCUAUGUGCUAGAGAUUUUAGUCGGUAGAGCUUUCGGUGACCAAAAAUGGUUGAAACUGAGAAGUUAAGAUUUCGUUCUUCUUGUUAAGUUAAACUGAGUCUGACAAUCAAAUUUGAGCGCAAACGGACAUUCAGAAGGUCCCCGGCGAAAAACUUCAGUUUCUGAACUGCUAAACUGAAAUUGUGUUAAUGUUGAG
Molecule: long non-coding RNA, 983 nt
Filed under: Ananas comosus (pineapple)
Lineage: Eukaryota; Viridiplantae; Streptophyta; Magnoliopsida; Poales; Bromeliaceae
Description: long non-coding RNA (ACOM_LNC003333)
Source: RNAcentral